This 148-nucleotide non-coding RNA is filed under the name Pan paniscus (pygmy chimpanzee). The record is from Rfam by way of RNAcentral. RNAcentral also lists the same sequence under 1 other name. Lineage: Eukaryota; Metazoa; Chordata; Mammalia; Primates; Hominidae.
GCCAGGCUUGGUGGCACGUGCCUGUAAUCCCAGCUACUUGGGAGGCUGAGGCAGGAGAAUUGCUUGAACCCAGGAGACAGAGGUUGCAGUGAGCCAAGAUCACGCCACUGCACUCCAGCCUGGGUAACAGAGCAAGACUCUGUCUCAA